This 757-nucleotide long non-coding RNA is filed under the name Homo sapiens (human). RNAcentral's name for it is "HSALNT0029685". The record is from RNAcentral. Lineage: Eukaryota; Metazoa; Chordata; Mammalia; Primates; Hominidae.
CUGGGCAACAAGAGCGAAAGUCCGUCUCAAAAAAAAAAAACAAAAACAUAUAUAUAUAUACACACAAAAAAACUUAGCUGGGUAUAGUGGCAUGUGCUGUGGCUACUCUAGAGCUACUCUAGAGGCUGAGGUGGGAGGAUUACUUCAGCCCAGGAAGUUGAGGCUGCAGUGAGCCAUGAUCGCACCACUGCACUCCAGCCUGGAGAUAGAGCAAGACCCUGUAUCAAAAAAAUUUUGAAAAGAGAAAAGAAACAUUGCACUAUACAAAUGUUUGAGGUUAAUAAGGGGAUCUCUAAAUCUAAAAAAAAAUUAAUGAUAAUUUUAAAAUUUCUAAACUAAAAAGAAAUUAAAACACAUCACCCUAAUACCCAAAUUAAUUAACCUCUUUGCUGAAGUUUACAGAUGGACUUGCUUUGUCUCAAAGCAAAAUAUGAUAAAAUUCUAAUGAUUUAUAACAGAAAGGUUGAUCUCUUUGGGAAUUCCUUCUCUCUGGCUUGAUAUUGACAGCCAGUACAUGUAUAAUUAAAAUUCACCCUAAGGACAAAGCCACCAUGAGAAUGAGGUACCACCUCACACCCAUUAGAAUGGGUACUAUUGAAGAAAAAAAAAAAAACAGAAAAUGGUAAUGUGGGCUAAGUGUGGCGGCUCCCGCCUGUAAUCCCAGCAUUUUGGGAAUCCAAGGCAGUGGAUCACUUGAAGUCAGGAGUUCGAGACUAGCCUGGGCAACACGGUGAAACCCCAUCUCUUCUAAAAAUAC